GUCCACGCCGUAAACGAUGGAUACUAGCUGUUGGAAGCAAUUUCAGUGGCUAAGCGAAAGUGAUAAGUAUCCCACCUGGGGAGUACGUUCGCAAGAAUGAAACUCAAAGGAAUUGACGGGGGCCCGCACAAGCGGUGGAGCAUGUGGUUUAAUUCGAUGAUACGCGAGGAACCUUACCAAGGCUUAAAUGUAGAUUGACAGGUUUGGAAACAGACUUUUCUUCGGACAAUUUACAAGGUGCUGCAUGGUUGUCGU
RNAcentral lists this ribosomal RNA (255 nucleotides) under uncultured bacterium. RNAcentral's name for it is "partial 16S ribosomal RNA". It matches the Rfam family "Bacterial small subunit ribosomal RNA", at positions 793 to 1055 of the family's 1533-position model. The record is from RNAcentral.